RNAcentral lists this non-coding RNA (75 nucleotides) under Streptomyces sp. MMG1121. The record is from RNAcentral. Lineage: Bacteria; Bacillati; Actinomycetota; Actinomycetes; Kitasatosporales; Streptomycetaceae.
CUUCAACGAACCCAGCCACAAAGGCGAACCCCCCGCACGAGAACGCCCAUACGUAGCCAGCAAAGCCUGCGCCUC